RNAcentral lists this ribosomal RNA (433 nucleotides) under uncultured bacterium. RNAcentral's name for it is "partial 16S ribosomal RNA". It matches the Rfam family "Bacterial small subunit ribosomal RNA", at positions 29 to 507 of the family's 1533-position model. The record is from RNAcentral.
AACGAACGCUGGCGGCAUGCCUAACACAUGCAAGUCGAACGAGACCUUCGGGUCUAGUGGCGCACGGGUGCGUAACGCGUGGUAACCUGCCCUUAGGUUCGGAAUAACUCCCCGAAAGGGGUGCUAAUACCGGAUAAUGUCUUCGGACCAAAGAUUUAUCGCCUUUGGAUGGGCCCGCGUUGGAUUAGCUAGUUGGUAGGGUAAAAGCCUACCAAGGCGACGAUCCAUAGCUGGUCUGAGAGGAUGAUCAGCCACACUGGGACUGAGACACGGCCCAGACUCCUACGGGAGGAAGCAGUGGGGAAUAUUGGACAAUGGGAGAAAGCCUGAUCCAGCAAUGCCGCGUGAGUGAUGAAGGCCUUAGGGUUGUAAAGCUCUUUUACCCGGGAUGAUAAUGACAGUACCGGGAGAAUAAGCUCCGGCUAACUCCGUG